This 205-nucleotide microRNA precursor is filed under the name Oryza glumipatula. Its description in RNAcentral is "MIR812 microRNA precursor family". It matches the Rfam family "MIR812 microRNA precursor family". Lineage: Eukaryota; Viridiplantae; Streptophyta; Magnoliopsida; Poales; Poaceae. The record is from Rfam by way of RNAcentral.
AAAAAGGCAAACCCUGGGUUUUCGUGUCUAACUUUGACUAUCCAUCUUAUAUGAAAUUUUUUUAUAAUUCGUAUUUUCAUUGUUGUUAGAUGAUAAAACAUGAUUAAUAUUUUAUGCGUGACUUGUCUUUUUAAUUUUUUUCAUAAUUUUUUCAAAUAAGACGGAUAGUCAAAUGUUGGACACGGAAAUCAGGGUUUAUCUUUAU